RNAcentral lists this ribosomal RNA (444 nucleotides) under uncultured bacterium. RNAcentral describes it as "partial 16S ribosomal RNA". It matches the Rfam family "Bacterial small subunit ribosomal RNA", at positions 354 to 796 of the family's 1533-position model. The record is from RNAcentral.
GUAGGGAAUAUUGGGCAAUGGUCGGAAGACUGACCCAGCCAUGCCGCGUGCAGGAAGACGGCCCUCUGGGUUGUAAACUGCUUUUAUCUGGGAAGAAAAAGGCCAUGCGUGGCAAAUUGCCGGUACCAGAUGAAUAAGCACCGGCUAACUCCGUGCCAGCAGCCGCGGUAAUACGGAGGGUGCGAGCGUUGUCCGGAGUUAUUGGGUUUAAAGGGUGCGUAGGCGGCUGAUUAAGUCAGCGGUGAAAGACUUCGGCUUAACCGGAGCAGUGCCGUUGAUACUGGUUGGCUUGAGUGUCGGAGGGGUACAUGGAAUUGAUGGUGUAGCGGUGAAAUGCAUAGAUACCAUCAGGAACACCGAUAGCGAAGGCAUUGUACUGGCCGACAACUGACGCUGAUGCACGAAAGUGUGGGGAUCGAACAGGAUUAGAAACCCCUGUAGUCC